GACGAACGCUGGCGGCGUGCCUAAUACAUGCAAGUCGAACGCAGUGGGGACGGGUGAGUAACACGUGGGUAACCUCCCAUCAGAGGGGAUAACACUUGGAAACAGGUGCUAAACCGAUACUGAUGGAUGGACCCGCGGUGCAUUAGCUAGUUGGGGAGGUAACGGCUCACCAAGGCCACGGUGCAUAGCCGAACCGAGAGGGUGAUAGGGCACCAUGGGACUGGGACACGGCCCCGCAUCCGACGGGAGGCAGGAGUAGGGAAGCUUUGGGAAUGGACGAAAGUGUGAACGAGCAAAGCCGCGGGAGGUAAGAAGGUUUUGGGAUCGGAAAACUCUGUUGUUAGAGAAGAGGUAUCUAACCAGAAAGGCACGGGUAACUACGGGCCAGCAGCCGCGGUUAAAC
RNAcentral lists this ribosomal RNA (403 nucleotides) under uncultured bacterium. Its description in RNAcentral is "partial 16S ribosomal RNA". It matches the Rfam family "Bacterial small subunit ribosomal RNA", at positions 28 to 526 of the family's 1533-position model. The record is from RNAcentral.